UAGAUUGAUAGAUAAAAUCUUAUGCAUUUUAAAAGUAAUCUUUAUAGCAUUAUAUUUAAAUUCUAAAUUGUUAUCCUAUCAUAAAUGUUUUGUAAAAUUGUUAAAUUACUCGUAUAUAUUUUUCCUAGUCUUAUAUUUCUUAUUUUAUACGUACUGUUAGUAUCUAAUACGUGUACUCCCUAACCAAUUAAACGCACACACGCACCGGUAUACUUAUCUCCUCCUUAUAACCCCACGUUUAUCCACUCUCACAAUUUAUCUUCAAAAGAACGUAUAUCAUAUAUAUGUUGAUAGCAAAAUAAAAGAGGAAAGCAAAAAUUAGAGUGGGAGAGACAGAGAGGGAGAGUCCGAACCAAAGGGAGCCAGAGGAUGAGAAGGAGAGGAGAGGGGAAGGGAAGGAAGAGGCGUUGCCGGUGAUGAACACAGCCACCGUCGCCGCUGUCUGACCGCCACACCACCAAACCCUAGCCGUCAUAGAGGAGAGGGUGAUCGAAGUAGAGAAGCACCGCGUGAAGGAGGGAAGUUCCAUCGCCGGCGCUGCUGUUAGUGGAAGCCGCUACCACCGCAGCGGGGAAAACGAACAUGGGAGAAGAGGUUUCGUUGAUGCUGUGACAGAGGAAGAGGACGAGACGUGUGUGAGAGAGUGACGCACCGAGGAGGGACCAUUCCUCUGCCGCUGCCGCUGCCGGAAUUUCUGGUUGCCGCCAUGAUUAAUGUUAUAUGAUGUUUGCUGGAGUUUGUCCCAAUUGGACCCACUGGCGAAGGUGUUGCCGCUGCCGGAAGCCAACGCCGGGCUGUUGCUGGUUCUGAUUCUAUUACCUUGGUACUGGUCUAAUCUUUUCUUUGGGACUUGUCCAUUUGCACGCUCUGUUUUGGCACUGGUAUAGUUGUUAUAUUCUUGUUUUAAUUCAAUUUUAGUUUUUACUUUGUCGUCAAUUCCCAGGGCUGUUUAUGCCCUUGACUACAUUAGAUUCAAAUUCUUGUCCUGCUGCAACCAUCAUCAUUGCCGCGAAAUUAAAGUUGUUGCUGUUCCAGUGGUGUCCUUGAUUGCAUUAGGAUUGUUGUCACUGCUGUAAAUUAGAAACGAAACGGGGGCAGUUGUGUUCAAAUUCUGCAAUUGCGACAUCAAGUGACACAGGUUUGAAGAUGCAAUUUGAAGCUGCGAGCGAUUAAUAGGUUUUCUUUAUGGUUUUAAUUGCUUUCAUAGAAUCCCCUCGCUCUUGUCCUUUGAGGUUUUAUUUUAACAGAGGGGUAGGUGUUGUAUUUGGGUUUAUAUGACUUCUUAUGUAUAAGAAUUACUAUUAAUAAUACUUAUGUGAUUGUUAUUAUUAUUUGCAA
This is a non-coding RNA of Arachis ipaensis, 1338 nucleotides long. NCBI's taxonomy places the organism in Eukaryota, Viridiplantae, Streptophyta, Magnoliopsida, Fabales, Fabaceae. The record is from RefSeq and is a predicted model, not a curated record.